This 95-nucleotide non-coding RNA is filed under the name Pseudomonas putida S610. RNAcentral's name for it is "ivy-DE RNA". It matches the Rfam family "ivy-DE RNA". Lineage: Bacteria; Pseudomonadati; Pseudomonadota; Gammaproteobacteria; Pseudomonadales; Pseudomonadaceae. The record is from RNAcentral.
UGACCAAGGGGCCGGGCUGUUCUGAUCGCUACAGGAUCGGAGUGGCCUAGGGGUACAGGGAGUGCCUCCACCUGUUGGGCCGGGUCAGGCAAGGC